AUUAUGGCUCAGAACGAACGCUGGCGGCGUGGAUAAGACAUGCAAGUCGAACGGGAUUUCAUUUGUAGCAAUACCGAUGAAGUCUAGUGGCGGACGGGUGCGUAACACGUGAGCAAUCUGCCGGGAAGUGGGGGAUAACUCGCCGAAAGGCGAAUUAAUACCGCAUGUGGCCAAGGGGGACAUCCUCCUGAAGCCAAAGUCGCAAGACGCUUCCUGAUGAGCUCGCGGCCUAUCAGCUAGUUGGUGAGGUAACGGCUCACCAAGGCUAUGACGGGUAGCUGGUCUGAGAGGACGACCAGCCACACUGGAACUGAGACACGGUCCAGACACCUACGGGUGGCAGCAGUCGAGAAUUUUUCACAAUGGGGGAAACCCUGAUGGAGCGACGCCGCGUGGAGGAUGAAGGUCUUCGGAUUGUAAACUCCUGUCAAAUGGGAACAAGAAAGUGAUAGUACCAUUAGAGGAAGAGACGGCUAACUCUGUGCCAGCAGCCGCGGUAAUACAGAGGUCUCAAGCGUUGUUCGGAUUCAUUGGGCGUAAAGGGUGCGCAGGCUGUGGGGUAAGUCGGAUGUGAAAUUCAGGGGCUCAACCCCUGACCUGCAUUCGAUACUGCUCCGCUAGAGGACUGUAGAGGAGAUUGGAAUUCACGCCGUAGCAGUGAAAUGCGUAGAUAUCGUGAGGAAGACCAGUGGCGAAGGCGAAUCUCUGGGCAGUUCCUGACGCUCAUGCACGAAGGCCAGGGGAGCAAACGGGAUUAGAUACCCCGGUAGUCCUGGCAGUAAACGGUGCACGUUUGGUGUGGGAGGAUUCGACCCCUUCCGUGCCGGAGCUAACCCGUUCAACGUGCCGCCUGGGAAGUACGGUCAUAAGAU
RNAcentral lists this ribosomal RNA (872 nucleotides) under uncultured Spartobacteria bacterium. Its description in RNAcentral is "bacterial SSU rRNA". It matches the Rfam family "Bacterial small subunit ribosomal RNA", at positions 16 to 894 of the family's 1533-position model. Lineage: Bacteria; Pseudomonadati; Verrucomicrobiota; Spartobacteria. The record is from RNAcentral.